UUAAAGGAGCUGUAUGUAAGAUUGGGGCCAAAACUGGUACUGCAAUCACUUUCAAAUUACUGUAGAGCGGUAUAGUGGAGGGCGGAGCAUCAGACCAAAACACAACAUGACCACAUCAACAUCAGUUGAGGGCUGCAACUUCACUUUUUAAAUGACAAUAUCCUGGCCAGACUACUGUUGUCAGUGAUAUAAGUAUUUGAAAUGAACAUGAUUUCUUAAUGUCUAGUGACAUAUCAGGG
Long non-coding RNA from Rhinichthys klamathensis goyatoka, 239 nucleotides. RefSeq lists it as uncharacterized. The record is from RefSeq and is a predicted model, not a curated record. NCBI's taxonomy places the organism in Eukaryota, Metazoa, Chordata, Actinopteri, Cypriniformes, Leuciscidae. The transcript has 2 exons.